AGACAGAGAGGCGCUGACUGACUGACUGACUGGCCGGGGAGCAGCAGCAGCAGACGGCGGUCCAUAUCUACCUAUUUUCGGCUCUGCUCUCCCCUUCCACGUCUCUUUUCUUUCCUUUCUUCCUUUUCUGAAGCCGGCUGAGAAAAAAAAUGUCAGCCAGACCGGGAUUCUACCGGCAGGAGCUGAACAAGACCGUAUGGGAGGUUCCGGAGCGGUACCAGAACCUGACGCCGGUGGGCUCUGGAGCCUACGGCACGGUGUGCUCGGCUUAUGACGUGGUCUCCAGGCAGAAGGUGGCGGUGAAGAAACUCUCCCGGCCCUUCCAGUCUCUGAUCCACAGCCGCCGCUCGUACCGCGAACUCCGGCUUCUCAAGCACAUGAAACACGAGAACGUCAUCGGGCUGCUGGACGUCUUCACGCCGGCGGGGACACUAGAAGACUUCAACGAGCUCUACCUGGUGACCAACUUGAUGGGGGCAGACCUCAACAACAUCGUCAAGUUUCAGAGGCUGUCAGACGAGCAUGUGCAGUUCCUAAUUUACCAGCUGCUCCGCGGCCUUAAGUACAUCCAUUCAGCCGGACUCAUCCACCGGGACCUCAAGCCAAGUAACGUGGCCGUGAACGAAGACUGUGAGCUCAGGAUACUUGACUUUGGAUUGGCCAGGCAGACGGACGAUGAGAUGACAGGGUAUGUGGCGACACGUUGGUACCGAGCACCAGAGAUCAUGCUGAACUGGAUGCACUACAACCAGAACGUUGAUAUUUGGUCUGUGGGCUGCAUCAUGGGAGAACUGCUGAAAGGAAAAGUCUUGUUCCCCGGCACCGACUAUAUCGACCAGCUGAAGAGAAUCAUGGAGGUGGUUGGCACCCCGACACCGGACCUGCUGAAGAAGAUCUGCUCCGAACACGCCCAGAAGUACAUCCAGUCUCUUCCCUUCAUGCCCCAACAAGACAUGGAAAAGAUCUUCAGAGGAGCAAACCCUCUUGCUGCUCUGUCCGUACCGUCAGUCUGCCGCGGACAAACCCUCCUCCACUUACCUUCCUGUUCCUGUCGCCCUGGCAGCCAUCGACCUGCUGAAGCGCAUGCUGGUUCUGGACUGUGAUGAGCGGAUCUCAGCCAGCGAGGCCCUGGCCCACCCUUACUUCUCGCAGUACCACGACCCAGACGAUGAGCCGGAGGCUCCGCCUUACGACCAAACACUGGAGAGCAAGGACCGGACUCUGGAGGAGUGGAAAGAGCUGGUGUUCGAAGAGGUGAGCAGCUUUAAGGCGUCGGGCAGUAAGACGGACAGCCUCCAGGCGGAGCAGUAAGGGCCCCUCUGCUCCACCGUCAACCCAGACAAAACAGCCACACACUCACUGGAUGCAAAACAGACCGUGGAGAAAAGCAACAUUAAUUGUGUUUGAUUGUUUUUGACGUGAAAAGGGCAACAGCGGUCUCCAUGGGGACACAAACAUUCCGGGCGCAGGGAUCAUGUUUGGGAUGGUGUUCAAAAGGACAUCUCUGCAGCAGAAAGUUGCUUCUUCCUGUUACAUUUCCACUGACGGACGGUGAAAUGAGGAACCGUCUGAGUGUCGAAAGGAUUGGUGGGGGGGAGGAACUUUCGGUGGCAGAUCUGUCCUUACAGGCUGAGAGAACGGUAAAGACAAAGGUAUAAAUACAUAAAUACGCACACUAGGAUUUCCAAAGCAACGUCAGGGACAUAUCACCCAUCAGUUCCAUGAACCUAGUGCUUUCAUUUAUGGGAUUCAUCUUUAACCUUCUGGAGUUCCUUCGUUUUGAUUCGCUACGUUUAAAUGACAGAGAAAUUUCAUGAAUCAACCAUUUUUUAAAAGUAUCAUUGCCAUUUUUAACUUCUGUUCUCAUCAUGUAAUAAAAGUUACAAAUGUUUUGGAAUUUUAACUCCUUAAAUGUCUAUGUUAGUGAAUAAAUAUCUAAAUUUUUUAAGAAAAAAAACCCCACAAAAAGUUGUUUUUUUCCCCCAAUCUGUUUAUGAAAUUGAUCAAUUUACACAACAAACAAAAACUAUGAAUUAAUUUUAACAUCAGGGGAAAAAAAACUAAACUCAAACUAAACUCAGAUUUUAUUGGUAGCGUGUUCUAACCGUUCGAAUGGUAGUAAAUGGCAACACAACUAUUAGAAGGAACACACUUUAUGAUAUUUAAUUUAUUAAAAACUUUAAAGGUAAGAUGAUAAAGAUUUCACCUGGUCAUGUCUAACACAGGAUGCAUUAACAAUCAGGUUUUCCAAAACAAAAUGAUAAAAAAACCCCCGCAAAAAACAAAUUGAGGGACCCAGAAGGUUAAAGGUUAAAGGUCGCCUGCGUUACACUGAAGCAUGAUUUAUUCUCAUUUUACAGUCGUGUCUUAUAACUGGAACUGUAUUGUAAUCUCUCUCUGUUUCUAAUGCACAAUAGCAGAAUUUUCUACUUGUUCAGUCAAACAAACUGCUGCUUCGUCUCUCCUGCUUAUUUACACCUGAACACCAACUGUGCUGUUAUUAGCAAGGUAAUGAAUAUAUGCCAAAGCUGGAAGAGUGUGACGGCGCUGCAGGUGUGUGUUUACUCUGGAACCUCGCUCUCAUACACAUCCUGCUGGCGGCUGAUUGUUGGUCACCUGUUAGCUUUGGCUGCUCUGCUUCAGGCUCCUUCGUUUGCUGCCCGUAUGUGAGUUUACACUGAUUAAUGUUAAAUUCUGCAAACAGCCUCAGACGGUAUCUAUCCAAUAAAGUACAGGAGUCUCAUAUAAUGUGGAGGUCAAUCAAACAAGGCAACAUUCUGGCUGUUUAUGGCCACCAUAAAGCUCUAUUUGUGCUCCCCAGGUCUAAUGAUUGCAAUUAAAAGAAAAUAGAGUCUAACCAGGGUCAACUUUGUUUAGCUUCGUGUCUGUCUUUCAUCCUUAGCGCAACAUUUUUGCCCGACAUCAUCUGAUGCAAACCCUCAAUUGAAAUGCAUGACGCGUGUAGUCGGUGCAUGUGAACAUCGUUGCUGCAAACUGGAGUUUUGUUCAGACCAUUUGUUCACUAAAACAAAUGGCUACACUGCAAUACGCGAGGUUUCUAAAGCAGGUGGAAGAUUACAAUAUUUUAGGGUCCUUCUAGAGAGUGCUAGGCAUGGGCUAGUAUGAUAUUCACCCAGUUCUACAUCAUACAAAUACCACAGUGUCUCUCUGUUUAAAAUGUUCAACAUAUAAACAAUGAUAUGGAAACGUCCUAUAAUCAUGCAACGCAUCACAUUCAUUGUCACACGACCAACCUCCUGCUUCUAAAACACAAACAAGACGGAAAUAAAGAUCAGUCGUUAAUAUCAACCCAGUUUUACUGAUCAGACCAAAACCGACAUGUUAAAAAAUGACCAACAUCAGCAUAAAUACAUAUAUAUAUAUAUUGUGGAUCCCUAAAAUUUAGUCACCAGAAAUAAAAAAUGCAUAUCAUUAUCUAGUUGUUAUAAGUCAGCUAUCAAAGUGCAAUCAAAAUACUACAAACAAAAUAACACGGCAUAUUGAUUAUUACAGUUGUAUAAUGUUAACUACAGCAUGUACCUAUUAUUAUAAACAGACUAUUUUCAAAAUGUUGAACAAAUAUGUGGUGAAUGAAUCAGAUGAGUCAGGUGGCCAGCCGGACAUCCUGCUUGUAAAUGUAUGACUAUUGUUUAAAAUAGUCUUAGAAAGAGUGAUGGCUGGUGCUGCCUUACUGUCCACUCAACCCCAACUAUCCACAACUGGAAGUAUUUCCAAAUUGCCAAAUUUGUUUUUCUUGUGAGUUAGAUAAAAAGUAUAGUAUUUUUAUUUCAGCCUGUAUUUUUAUUCAUAAGCUGACUGAAAUAACGCCACAUCUGAAUAAAACUCUAAUGACUUUAUAAUGACACCAUCUCUUCAUAUCAUUAUAAAGAACUUUAAAUCAGAAUGGGAGAAACUUUUAGCAGCUUGGAAAUGAAAUAUUUGAUACCAAUAACUGACCCAUGCCUAGAAAAAGAUUUAUGUUAAUUAAUUUUUUUGUUAUAAAAAGUUAAUUGUAUUUCUGAAUUUAGAUCAAGUUUGCCCAAGAUUUUUAUGGAAGCUAAUGCUAAUGAGUUUGCUUAAAAGACCCUGAACACGUAGCCCAACAGGCUAAAGUGCUAAUAUUUUUCUAGUGUUAGCUUUGUUAGCUCAUUGGGUUAGAAUCUGUUGUAAUGUAACUAGAAGCAUUACAAUUGUAGAUUUUCAGGCAUUUCUGUAAUCUAGGGUUUUCUGUAACUUACCAUUUUGUUUUUUAUUCAAAUGCACAAAAUCAAACAGCUUUUGGCUAAAUUUACUCAAGUUUAAUGUACCAGGUGUCAUUUUACAUAUUGCUAAAUUAGCAGCACAAAGAGCAAAUGUUUACAAGUACAGUCCAAAAAUGUUUUUUUUAAUGUUUUUUUAUUAUUAUUAUUAUUUCUUUUGCUUUCAUGUAGCAUUUUCAGCAAGUUGUCCAUUAACACUGGAUGAAAAAUAUUGAGCCUAUUGUCCUAGUAAAUCGAAACGGUCUCCGUCUGAGCAUACUAAAAGUCUGAAUGUUUAAACAUGAUAUGUUUAUGUUAAUGUAUCUGUGGUGGACUUGAAUAACAGCUGCAUACUGAAUGUUUAUGUUUACUGUAUGUAUGUAUGUUUGUUAAAAGUUAGUGUUGGCUUUUGAAUACACGUUGGCAUGUGAUUCAAUUGUUUGGGUUUCAGAUCACUGCAAGGAUUGUCAGUUCUUUUAUCAACUGGUAGUUAUGGAAGUUUGAGCUUCAACAGAAUAAAUACUAAUGUUUUCUUGUUUUUUUUGCACCAAAUAUUUUCUGUGAUUUUUAUGUAUUCUGGCUGUAUUAUUAAAGAAAAUGUGUUCUUAAAA
RNA transcript from Xiphophorus couchianus (Monterrey platyfish), 4849 nucleotides. It is a transcript of the gene named mitogen-activated protein kinase 11, with no coding region annotated. The record is from RefSeq and is a predicted model, not a curated record. The transcript is spliced from 12 exons. NCBI's taxonomy places the organism in Eukaryota, Metazoa, Chordata, Actinopteri, Cyprinodontiformes, Poeciliidae.